GCCAGCGUAGCAUAGUGGUUUGAGUGUUGGACUAUUACUCUGGAGACCAGGGUUUGAAUCCCUGCUCAGUCA
RNAcentral lists this transfer RNA (72 nucleotides) under Phrynosoma platyrhinos (Desert horned lizard). RNAcentral's name for it is "tRNA-OTHER". It matches the Rfam family "tRNA". Rfam says of the family: Transfer RNA (tRNA) molecules are approximately 80 nucleotides in length. Their secondary structure includes four short double-helical elements and three loops (D, anti-codon, and T loops). Lineage: Eukaryota; Metazoa; Chordata; Lepidosauria; Squamata; Phrynosomatidae. The record is from RNAcentral.